Saccostrea cuccullata (small rock oyster) is the source of this 306-nucleotide long non-coding RNA. RefSeq lists it as uncharacterized. The transcript is spliced from 3 exons. Lineage: Eukaryota; Metazoa; Mollusca; Bivalvia; Ostreida; Ostreidae. The record is from RefSeq and is a predicted model, not a curated record.
GUCAACUUGGUGUCUUAUUAAUGAAAACUAGAGAAUUAAAGAGUUUGGGACCAUAAAUGGAGAAGCUUACCGGAGAUAGGGCCUUUCAAGUGAAAGAGAGUAAGGAAAGUGGUUGGGUAUUCCAAGAUGUGAAGAAUCCUGUCUUUUGUGUGGAAUUCAAGAUAUUGAUCAACUUUUCCCACAAGAAGAAGCAUUUGCCUCCAGGGUACCAUGGACGUGUGGCAAUAUAAAUCCAAAGGACAACUGAGGCCUAGUUAAAAGCCACUUUCCUGCGCAUUCAGUCUUAGACUACAUUGUUUGCUAACA